This is a non-coding RNA of Aegilops tauschii subsp. strangulata, 651 nucleotides long. The record is from RefSeq and is a predicted model, not a curated record. NCBI's taxonomy places the organism in Eukaryota, Viridiplantae, Streptophyta, Magnoliopsida, Poales, Poaceae.
UUCAAAGUUCGCACUAUUUAUAUCACAGGAUGGUACAAAUGGAGAAGUAAAAAAUAAGGCCUGGAGUUAUACCCAAAUAAUUUAUGCAGCCCAAUGAAGUGUAUCGCCUUGAGCUCCAUUAUUUAGGCCAGAUCUCAUGAGAGGUGUUGUGUCAAUUGCAUUGGCAUACAAUAAGCAUGGACAGUAGUACCGGAUCUGGUUGGAGAUUGACUCGCAUGGGGCACCGGUGACGGAGGCGUAGACAUGGACGAUGACGGUGCUUCACCAAGGGCAGAUGUGUGCGGCUCAGUGGAGAGACUUGUUGUGGAUGUAUGUUGGGAUGCGGAUGAGAGAUCGUGAGGGAGGAUGGAGGAGAGGUGAAAGUAAUGGUAUCAGACAAUAUAAGGCAGAAUCGUGAGAGAAAGGAAACUACUAUCGCGAUAAUUGGGGACUCCUGAUUGCUAUCAUCCCCGGAUUUUUCUGAGGCCCCAGAAUCUUAUCUUGUGCUUUUUUUAUACUCACACAAAAUUAUUGGAGUUAUUUUCGUGGUACAUUUUAUAUGCAUAAAUAUUGUGAUUGGCCCACCUUCCUUCUGUAACCGUGGGCUUAAUAAUUCAGAAAAGGCACACCCUUUUAAUAUUUGAGAAACUAAUUUUUUCUGUUUCAUUUGAA